UGGGCUGUAACUGACGNUGAGAAGCGAAAGCAUGGGGAGCGAACAGGAUUAGAUACCCUGGUAGUCCAUGCCGUAAACGUUGGGCACUAGGUGUGGGGGACAUUCCACGUUUUCCGCGCCGUAGCUAACGCAUUAAGUGCCCCGCCUGGGGAGUACGGCCGCAAGGCUAAAACUCAAAGAAAUUGACGGGGGCCCGCACAAGCGGCGGAGCAUGCGGAUUAAUUCGAUGCAACGCGAAGAACCUUACCAAGGCUUGACAUAUACUGGACUGCGUCAGAGAUGGCGUUUCCCUUCGGGGCUGGUAUACAGGUGGUGCAUGGUUGUCGUCAGCUCGUGUCGUGAGAUGUUGGGUUAAGUCCCGCAACGAGCGCAACCCUCGUUCUAUGUUGCCAGCACGUGAUGGUGGGGACUCAUAGGAGACUGCCGGGGUCAACUCGGAGGAAGGUGGGGAUGACGUCAAAUCAUCAUGCCCCUUAUGUCUUGGGCUUCACGCAUGCUACAAUGGCCGGUACAGAGGGUUGCGAUACUGUGAGGUGGAGCUAAUCCCUAAAAGCCGGUCUCAGUUCGGAUUGGGGUCUGCAACUCGACCCCAUGAAGUCGGAGUCGCUAGUAAUCGCAGAUCAGCAACGCUGCGGUGAAUACGUUCCCGGGCCUUGUACACA
RNAcentral lists this ribosomal RNA (662 nucleotides) under uncultured bacterium. RNAcentral describes it as "bacterial SSU rRNA". It matches the Rfam family "Bacterial small subunit ribosomal RNA", at positions 730 to 1389 of the family's 1533-position model. The record is from RNAcentral.